RNAcentral lists this ribosomal RNA (923 nucleotides) under Bacillus sp. S17. Its description in RNAcentral is "bacterial SSU rRNA". It matches the Rfam family "Bacterial small subunit ribosomal RNA", at positions 36 to 943 of the family's 1533-position model. The record is from RNAcentral. Lineage: Bacteria; Bacillati; Bacillota; Bacilli; Caryophanales; Bacillaceae.
UUAGGCUCGCCCUCAUCCUAAUGCACGUCGAGCGAAUGGAUUAAGAGCUUGCUCUUAUGAAGUUAGCGGGGAGGGGGGGGAUAGUGGGUAACCUGCCAUAAGAUGGGAUACCCACGGGAACCCGGCGCUAAUACGGAUAAUAUUUUGAACUGCAUGGUGCGAAAUUGAAAGGCGGCUUCGGCUGUCACUUAUGGAUGGACCCGCGUCGCAUUAGCUAGUUGGUGAGGUAACGGCUCCCAAGGGAACGAUGCGUAGCCGAAUUGAGAGGGUGAUCGGCCACACUGGGACUGAGACACGGCCCGAAUCCUACGGGAGGCAGCGUAGGGAAUCUUCCGCAAUGGACGAAAGUCCGACGGAGCACCCCCCGUGAGUGAUGAAGGCUUUCGGGUCGUAAAACUCUGUUGUUAGGUAAGAACAAGUGCUAGUUGAAUAAGCUGGCACCUUGACGGUACCCUAACCAGAAAGCCACGGCUAACUACGUGCCAGCGCCCCGGUAAUACUAGGUGGCAAGCGUUAUCCCGGAAUUAUUGGGCGUAAAGCGCGCGCACGUGGUUUCUUAAGUCUGAUGUGAAAGCCCCCGGCUCAACCCUGGAGGGUCAUUGGAAACUGGGACACUUGAGUGCAGAAGAGGAAAGUGGAAUUCCCCUGUGUAGCGGUGAAAUGCGCACAGAUCUGGAGGCACCCCCGUGGCCAAGGCGACCUUUCUGGUCUGUAACUGACACUGAGGCCGAAAAGCCUGGGGACCAAACCGGACUACAUACCCUGGUAGUCCCCCCCAAAACCAUGAGUGCUCAAGUGUUAGAGGGCUUUCCGCUCCUUAUUGCUGAAGUUCACCCCAUUAACCAUUCCGCCCGGGGAGUACCGCCCCAGGCUGAAAAUUCAACGGAUUGACUGGGGGCUCCGCACAAUCUGUCGAGCCUGUC